AGGGUGUAAACGCUGCAGACUUGGUGUUGGAGGCCCUUUGGGGGCAUUCAGUGCCGGAGAGAAGUUGUUAAGUCUGCUACUUGGGGAGUACGUCCGCAAGGAUGAACUUAAAGGAAUUGCGGGGAGCACCGCAACGGGAGGAGCGUGCGGUUUAAUUGGAUUCAACACCGUAAAACUCACCAGGGAAGACUGUCACAUGAAGGCCGAGAUGAAGACUCUGCUAGAUUUUCAGAGAGGAGGUGCAUGGCGUCAGUGACU
This 258-nucleotide ribosomal RNA is filed under the name uncultured archaeon. Its description in RNAcentral is "partial 16S ribosomal RNA". It matches the Rfam family "Archaeal small subunit ribosomal RNA", at positions 748 to 1008 of the family's 1478-position model. The record is from RNAcentral.